GACGAACGCUGGCGGCGUGCUUAACACAUGCAAGUCGAACGGAAAGGCCCUGCUUUUGUGGGGUGCUCGCGUGGCGAACGGGUGAGUAACACGUGCGUAACCUGCCCUUGACUUUGGGAUAACUUCAGGCAACUGGGGCUCAUACCGGAUAGGAGCUCCUGCUGCAUGGUGGGGGUUGGAAAGUUUCGGCGGUUGGGGAUGGACUCGCGGCUUAUCCGCUGGUUGGUGGGCUAGUGGCUUACCAAGUCUUUGACGGGUAGCCGGCCUGAGAGGGUGACCGGCCACAUUGGUACUGAGAUACGGCCCAGACUCCUACGGGAGGCAGCAGUGGGGAAUAUUGCACAAUGGGCGGAAGCCUGAUGCAGCAACGCCGCGUGCGGAAUGACGGCCUUCGGGUUGAAAACCGCUUUCGCCGGAGACGAAGCGUGAGUGACGGUAAUGGGUAAAGAAGCACCGGCUAACUACGUG
This 468-nucleotide ribosomal RNA is filed under the name uncultured bacterium. RNAcentral describes it as "partial 16S ribosomal RNA". It matches the Rfam family "Bacterial small subunit ribosomal RNA", at positions 28 to 507 of the family's 1533-position model. The record is from RNAcentral.